UACGAAGGGGGCUAGCGUUGCUCGGAAUCACUGGGCGUAAAGCGCACGUAGGCGGGUCUUUAAGUCAGGGGUGAAAUCCUGGAGCUCAACUCCAGAACUGCCUUUGAUACUGGCAAUCUCGAGUCCGGGAGAGGUGAGUGGAACUGCGAGUGUAGAGGUGAAAUUCGUAGAUAUUCGCAAGAACACCAGUGGCGAAGGCGGCUCACUGGCCCGGUACUGACGCUGAGGUGCGAAAGCGUGGGGAGCAAACAGG
RNAcentral lists this ribosomal RNA (253 nucleotides) under uncultured bacterium. RNAcentral's name for it is "partial 16S ribosomal RNA". It matches the Rfam family "Bacterial small subunit ribosomal RNA", at positions 524 to 776 of the family's 1533-position model. The record is from RNAcentral.